GCCGGGCAUGGUGGUUCACGCCUGUAAUCCCAGCACUUUGGGAGGCCGAGGUGGGUGGAUCACCUGAGGUCAGGAGUUCAAGACCAGCCUGGCCAACAUGGUGAAAACCCAUCUCUA
This is an unclassified non-coding RNA of Pongo abelii (Sumatran orangutan), 117 nucleotides long. It matches the Rfam family "Metazoan signal recognition particle RNA". From Rfam's summary of the family: The signal recognition particle (SRP) is a universally conserved ribonucleoprotein. The record is from Ensembl. Lineage: Eukaryota; Metazoa; Chordata; Mammalia; Primates; Hominidae.